Molecule: non-coding RNA, 47 nt
Organism: Parastrongyloides trichosuri
Lineage: Eukaryota; Metazoa; Nematoda; Chromadorea; Rhabditida; Strongyloididae
Source: Rfam
CCAACGGCCCUCUUUAGGGCCACCCAGUAUAUUUUCAUGGUUUUUAU